CGUUCCCGGGCCUUGUACACACCGCCCGCCACACCACGAAAGUCGGCAACACCCGAAGUCAGUGGCCCAACCCGCAAGGGGGGGAGCUGCCGAAGGUGGGGUUGGUGAUUGGGGUG
This 116-nucleotide ribosomal RNA is filed under the name uncultured bacterium. RNAcentral describes it as "partial 16S ribosomal RNA". It matches the Rfam family "Bacterial small subunit ribosomal RNA", at positions 1369 to 1482 of the family's 1533-position model. The record is from RNAcentral.